CGGUAGGUCUACUCUAGAACUUUCUCCAGUUGUCGGUAGGUCUACUCUAGAACUUUCUCCAGUUGUCGGUAGGUCUACUCUAGAACUUUCUCCAGUUGUCGGUAGGUCUACUCUAGAACUUUCUCCAGUUGUCGGUAGGUCUACUCUAGAACUUUCUCCAGUUGUCGGUAGGUCUACUCUAGAACUUUCUCCAGUUGUCGGUAGGUCUACUCUAGAACUUUCUCCAGCUGUCGGUAGGUCUGCUCUAGAACUUUCUCCAGCUGUCGGUAGGUCUGCUCUAGAACUUUCUCCAGGGGACGUUCUCCUUUCCUGCUUCUAGUCUUUAAGUUUAGCCUCACU
Acanthochromis polyacanthus (spiny chromis) is the source of this 339-nucleotide long non-coding RNA. RefSeq lists it as uncharacterized. The record is from RefSeq and is a predicted model, not a curated record. The transcript has 4 exons. NCBI's taxonomy places the organism in Eukaryota, Metazoa, Chordata, Actinopteri, Pomacentridae.